UAAUUUCUAAAAAAUAAUCUA
RNAcentral lists this non-coding RNA (21 nucleotides) under Caenorhabditis elegans. Lineage: Eukaryota; Metazoa; Nematoda; Chromadorea; Rhabditida; Rhabditidae. The record is from RNAcentral.